GUCGAACGGGAAAUAUUUCAUUGAGACUUCGGUGGAUUUGAUCUAUUUCUAGUGGCGGACGGGUGAGUAACGCGUGGGUAACCUGCCUUAUACAGGGGGAUAACAGUCAGAAAUGGCUGCUAAUACCGCAUAAGCGCACAGAGCUGCAUGGCUCAGUGUGAAAAACUCCGGUGGUAUAAGAUGGACCCGCGUUGGAUUAGCUUGUUGGUGGGGUAACGGCCCACCAAGGCGACGAUCCAUAGCCGGCCUGAGAGGGUGAACGGCCACAUUGGGACUGAGACACGGCCCAGACUCCUACGGGAGGCAGCAGUGGGGAAUAUUGCACAAUGGGGGAAACCCUGAUGCAGCGACGCCGCGUGAAGGAAGAAGUAUCUCGGUAUGUAAACUUCUAUCAGCAGGGAAGAUAGUGACGGUACCUGACUAAGAAGCCCCGGCUAACUACGUGCCAGCAGCCGCGGUAAUACGUAGGGGGCAAGCGUUAUCCGGAUUUACUGGGUGUAAAGGGAGCGUAGACGGUGUGGCAAGUCUGAUGUGAAAGGCAUGGGCUCAACCUGUGGACUGCAUUGGAAACUGUCAUACUUGAGUGCCGGAGGGGUAAGCGGAAUUCCUAGUGUAGCGGUGAAAUGCGUAGAUAUUAGGAGGAACACCAGUGGCGAAGGCGGCUUACUGG
This 670-nucleotide ribosomal RNA is filed under the name uncultured bacterium. RNAcentral's name for it is "bacterial SSU rRNA". It matches the Rfam family "Bacterial small subunit ribosomal RNA", at positions 61 to 732 of the family's 1533-position model. The record is from RNAcentral.